Molecule: small RNA, 145 nt
Filed under: Micromonospora yangpuensis
Lineage: Bacteria; Bacillati; Actinomycetota; Actinomycetes; Micromonosporales; Micromonosporaceae
Description: c-di-AMP sequence
Rfam family: c-di-AMP riboswitch aptamer (ydaO/yuaA leader)
About the family: This family represents a conserved RNA structure found upstream of the ydaO and yuaA genes in Bacillus subtilis and related genes in other bacteria. The ydaO/yuaA element is thought to act as a genetic "off" switch for the ydaO and yuaA genes in its native state. It is believed that the element may be triggered during osmotic shock leading to activation of ydaO, a predicted amino acid transporter gene, and members of the yuaA-yubG operon which code for KtrA and KtrB K+ transporters.
Source: Rfam by way of RNAcentral
CGCGUCGACCCGCUCAAUCGUCGUACGACGAACCGGGGACCCACAGCACCACUGGGGUGAAUCCGCGCAGCCACGGCUCGCGGUAGGGCGAAUUCUUCCCGCCCGAAUCCGUCAGCUAACCCGGUAGGCGGCACCGGAAGGAGUU